This 417-nucleotide ribosomal RNA is filed under the name uncultured bacterium. RNAcentral describes it as "bacterial SSU rRNA". It matches the Rfam family "Bacterial small subunit ribosomal RNA", at positions 355 to 787 of the family's 1533-position model. The record is from RNAcentral.
UGAGGAAUAUUGGGGCAAUGGAGGGAACUCUGACCCAGCCAUGCCGCGUGAGUGAAGAAGGUUUUCGGAUUGUAAAGCUCUUUCGGGUGUGACGAUGAUGACGGUAACACCUAAAGAAGCCCCGGCUAACUUCGUGCCAGCAGCCGCGGUAAUACGAAGGGGGCAAGCGUUGUUCGGAAUUACUGGGCGUAAAGGGAGUGUAGGCGGUUUAGUAAGAUAGUGGUGAAAUGCCAGAGCUUAACUUUGGAAUUGCCAUUAUAACUAUUGAACUAGAAUUAUGGAGAGGAUAGCGGAAUACCCAGUGUAGAGGUGAAAUUCGUAGAUAUUGGGUAGAACACCAGUGGCGAAGGCGGCUAUCUGGCCAUAUAUUGACGCUGGAGGCUCGAAAGCAUGGGGAUCAAACAGGAUUAGAUACCC